UGCCCUACAGAAGAUGCUCUGCACAAAACUGAUCAAUGUGGCUAAAAUUGAGACACAGGUCAUGCUUCCAUCACAGUAAACAUUUACAGUGGUAACAAUGAGACCUGUAACAUUU
This 115-nucleotide small nucleolar RNA is filed under the name Chinchilla lanigera (long-tailed chinchilla). Its description in RNAcentral is "Small nucleolar RNA SNORA1 (ENSCLAG00000019055.1)". It matches the Rfam family "Small nucleolar RNA SNORA1". From Rfam's summary of the family: ACA1 is a member of the H/ACA class of snoRNA that guide the sites of modification of uridines to pseudouridines. Lineage: Eukaryota; Metazoa; Chordata; Mammalia; Rodentia; Chinchillidae. The record is from Rfam by way of RNAcentral.